This 394-nucleotide ribosomal RNA is filed under the name uncultured Anaeromyxobacter sp. RNAcentral's name for it is "bacterial SSU rRNA". It matches the Rfam family "Bacterial small subunit ribosomal RNA", at positions 67 to 447 of the family's 1533-position model. Lineage: Bacteria; Pseudomonadati; Myxococcota; Myxococcia; Myxococcales; Anaeromyxobacteraceae. The record is from RNAcentral.
CGAGAAAGCCCGCAAGGGUGAGUAAAGCGGCGCACGGGUGCGUAACACGUGGAUAAUCUGCCCUGGAGUCCGGAACAACUCGCCGAAAGGCGAGCUAAUGCCGGAUGAGACCACGGGGGCUUCGGCCCCUGAGGGAAAAGGUGGCCUCUGUACACAAGCUAUCGCUUCAGGAUGAGUCCGCGGCCCAUCAGCUAGUUGGCGGGGUAAUGGCCCACCAAGGCGACGACGGGUAGCUGGUCUGAGAGGACGAUCAGCCACACUGGAACUGAGACGCGGUCCAGACUCCUACGGGAGGCAGCAGUGGGGAAUCUUGCGCAAUGGGCGAAAGCCUGACGCAGCAACGCCGCGUGUGUGAUGAAGGUCUUCGGAUCGUAAAGCACUGUCGCGAGGGACG